GACGAACGCUGGCGGCGUGCCUAAUACAUGCAAGUCGAACGCAGUGGGGACGGGUGAGUAACACGUGGGUAACCUCCCAUCAGAGGGGAUAACACUUGGAAACAGGUGCUAAACCGAUACUGAUGGAUGGACCCGCGGGGCAUUAGCUAGUUGGUGAGGUACCGGGUCACCAAGGCCACGAGGCAUAGCUGACCUGAGAGGGUGAUCGGCCACACUGGUACUGAGACACGGCCCAGACGCCUACGGGAGGAAGCAGUGGGGAAUAUUAGGCAAUGGACGAAAGUCUGAUCGAGCCACGCCGCGUGAGUGAAGAAGGUUUUCGGAUCGUAAAACUCUGUUGUUAGGGAAGCGGUAUCUACACAGAAAGCAACGGCUAACUACGUGCCAGCAGCCGCGGUAAUUC
RNAcentral lists this ribosomal RNA (403 nucleotides) under uncultured bacterium. RNAcentral describes it as "partial 16S ribosomal RNA". It matches the Rfam family "Bacterial small subunit ribosomal RNA", at positions 28 to 526 of the family's 1533-position model. The record is from RNAcentral.